RNAcentral lists this ribosomal RNA (400 nucleotides) under uncultured bacterium. RNAcentral describes it as "bacterial SSU rRNA". It matches the Rfam family "Bacterial small subunit ribosomal RNA", at positions 975 to 1375 of the family's 1533-position model. The record is from RNAcentral.
CAGGUCUUGACAUCCCUCUGAUCGGUCUAGAGAUAGAUCUUUCCUUCGGGACAGAGGAGACAGGUGCUGCAUGGCUGUCGUCAGCUCGUGUCGUGAAAUGUUGGGUUAAGUCCCGCAACGAGCGCAACCCUUAUCCUUUGUUGCCAGCGGUCCGGCCGGGAACUCAAAGGAGACUGCCAGUGAUAAACUGGAGGAAAGUGGGGAUGACGUCAAGUCAUCAUGGCCCUUACGACCAGGGCUACACACGUGCUACAGUGGCGCAUACAAAGAGAAGCGACCUCGCGAGAGCAAGCGGACCUCAUAAAGUGCGUCGUAGUCCGGAUUGGAGUCUGCAACUCGACUCCAUGAAGUCGGAAUCGCUAGUAAUCGUGGAUCAGAAUGCCAUGGUGAAUACGUUCCC